AUGUGCGUCCCUCACCGCUCCAUGUGCGUCCCUCCCGAAGCUGCGCGCUCGGUCGAAGAGGACGACCAUCCCCGAUAGAGGAGGACCGUUCUUCGGUCAAGGGUAUACGAGUAGCUGCGCUCCCCUGCUAGAACCUCCAAACAAGCUCUCAAGAAGGAGCGCCAUGGGAACUCAGUACACUGCUGGUGGGAGCAUAAAUUGGCACAGUCUUUU
This 213-nucleotide small RNA is filed under the name Castor canadensis (American beaver). RNAcentral's name for it is "7SK RNA (ENSCCNG00000004586.1)". The stretch from base 1 to 187 matches the Rfam family "7SK RNA", at positions 88 to 331 of the family's 331-position model. Rfam says of the family: 7SK was discovered as an abundant small nuclear RNA in the mid-70s but a possible function has only recently been suggested. Lineage: Eukaryota; Metazoa; Chordata; Mammalia; Rodentia; Castoridae. The record is from RNAcentral.